UACGUAGGGGGCAAGCGUUAUCCGGAUUUACUGGGUGUAAAGGGAGCGUAGACGGUGAUGCAAGUCAGAUGUGAAAGCCCGGGGCUUAACCGCGGGACUGCAUUUGAAACUGCAAUGCUGGAGUGCAGGAGAGGUAAGCGGAAUUCCUGGUGUAGCGGUGAAAUGCGUAGAUAUCAGGAGGAACACCAGUGGCGAAGGCGGCUUACUGGACUGUAACUGACGUUGAGGCUCGAAAGCGUGGGGAGCAAACA
Molecule: ribosomal RNA, 251 nt
Filed under: uncultured bacterium
Lineage: Bacteria
Description: partial 16S ribosomal RNA
Rfam family: Bacterial small subunit ribosomal RNA
Source: RNAcentral